This 716-nucleotide ribosomal RNA is filed under the name Enterococcus sp. enrichment culture clone WW1_3-93. Its description in RNAcentral is "bacterial SSU rRNA". It matches the Rfam family "Bacterial small subunit ribosomal RNA", at positions 31 to 719 of the family's 1533-position model. Lineage: Bacteria; Bacillati; Bacillota; Bacilli; Lactobacillales; Enterococcaceae. The record is from RNAcentral.
GAACGCUGGCGGCGUGCCUAAUACAUGCAAGUCGAACGCUUUUUCUUUCACCGGAGCUUGCUCCAUCGAAAGAAAAAGAGUGGCGAACGGGUGAGUAACACGUGGGUAACCUGCCCAUCAGAAGGGGAUAACACUUGGAAACAGGUGCUAAUACCGUAUAACACUAUUUUCCGCAUGGAAGAAAGUUGAAAGGCGCUUUUGCGUCACUGAUGGAUGGACCCGCGGUGCAUUAGCUAGUUGGUGAGGUAACGGCUCACCAAGGCAACGAUGCAUAGCCGACCUGAGAGGGUGAUCGGCCACACUGGGACUGAGACACGGCCCAGACUCCUACGGGAGGCAGCAGUAGGGAAUCUUCGGCAAUGGACGAAAGUCUGACCGAGCAACGCCGCGUGAGUGAAGAAGGUUUUCGGAUCGUAAAACUCUGUUGUUAGAGAAGAACAAGGAUGAGAGUAAAAUGUUCAUCCCUUGACGGUAUCUAACCAGAAAGCCACGGCUAACUACGUGCCAGCAGCCGCGGUAAUACGUAGGUGGCAAGCGUUGUCCGGAUUUAUUGGGCGUAAAGCGAGCGCAGGCGGUUUCUUAAGUCUGAUGUGAAAGCCCCCGGCUCAACCGGGGAGGGUCAUUGGAAACUGGGAGACUUGAGUGCAGAAGAGGAGAGUGGAAUUCCAUGUGUAGCGGUGAAAUGCGUAGAUAUAUGGAGGAACACCAGUGGCGAA